GGGUGCGAUCAUACCAGCACUAAUGCACCGGAUCCCAUCAGAACUCCGCAGUUAAGCGUGCUCGGGGGAGAGUAGUACUAGGAUGGGUGACCUCCUGGGAAGUCCUCGUGUUGCACCCC
This 119-nucleotide ribosomal RNA is filed under the name Spinacia oleracea (spinach). RNAcentral also lists the same sequence under 1 other name. The record is from RNAcentral. Lineage: Eukaryota; Viridiplantae; Streptophyta; Magnoliopsida; Caryophyllales; Amaranthaceae.